GAAGAAUAUUUUCUUUUCUUCCUUUUAUUACAGUCAUCUAAUCCAUCGUGUGUCUUGUUAUAUGCUUUAAAGGCAAAGACUAAAGAAUUUGUGCAUGUAGUCCCUUAUUAGUUUUUCAUCUUAUUGUUUGGUGUUCCUCUUAAUUUCCUAUAUUAUAUGGUGAGCUGAAAAAUUGGGAUCAUUUUGAAUCAUCGAACUGAAAUUAGGUCUGAAAUAUUGUCAGUGAAUCAUUUUCCAUUUGUUGACCCCCACAUUUACCCCGCCCCUAACUGACAAAACCAUGAAGAAGGAUACUAUUAAUAAGCAAUUUUUUUUUUCUUUUGAAUUGUUAAAAUGAUUAUGGGUCAAAACAAACUUUUGUGAGGGAAUGUACUGAUCCUUGGGAUUAUUUAUCUAUUAGGAGUUCUUCUUUUGCUAAUCGUUUGGAUUCUGGUUUGGUCCUUACUUUAAGCUCUGUUGUGCUCGACUAGACUAUGGUUGAAUGCUUUGAAUUUACUUUAUGCCCUCAUGCUACCCCUGCUUUCAACUCCCUUCAUCCCUUCUAGCUUUCCUCUAAUUAAAUUGACCCAUCAGAUGAUUUUUCUUCCACAUCUUUUGUCUGUCAGAUCCCUUCAUCCUUUAUGUUUCAGUAUAUCUUAAGCUUAAAAUUCUGAAUUAUAUCCCUAUGCCUCCAGACUUGCUAAGCACCCCUAGGAUUAUUUGCUUUUGGAAGUAUAAAAGAUAUUCCUUUUUGGUCAAUGUAAAAGAUAAUCUACUCAUCAGUGAAUAAAUGGUAAAGUGUACAGUUCUACAUGUGGAAGUGAUCCGGCAUGGAAAACUUGGUAGCAAGUGUUUUCACCAACCGAGCCCUUACGGUUUGUGGAUUUUGUUGGGACACACAUUCAUUCUUGUAUCUUCUGCUUGGUAAAAAUAUGAAGAAAUGCCAAGGGCGUUUAACUUAUUGCAUACUUGGUGUUACACUAGAAUUUGAAUUGCUUUAGCAGUUUUGUGUUUUUAUUUGGGUGCAUAAGUAGUCUCUAGCAUUAACAGCUCUCCUUGGUUGGUCCACUACAAUUUUUUUUUCCAUUAAUUGACUUUUAUGAUUGAACUAAUUUGAUUGGUAUUCUUUUCAUUUUAUCAUUUAUGUAUAACUCAGGAAGUAAGACGGAGAAUUUUUUGUGAUUUAAUCUGUGCAAGCAUAUUGUUACGGUUUUUUUCCCUGCUUAAUAUUUCUCGUCUAUCUGCAGAUGAAGAUGAUGAUUAGCUCGUGACUCAGUGUGUUGUGGCAUUUUCAGAAGGGUUCCAUGCUCUAAGAGACGGUUCGGCCUUAAAGUUUUAGGCACUUUUUGUUUUGAAAUUAAUGCUGAUAUGUUUGCAAGGCUGCUGUAAAAACUUUCCCAAUUUUCUGAUCUUUUUGUGAUGCAUAAGCUUUGAAAUACUUUCAUAUUGCAAAGCUGAACGGCGUUUCUUUAAUAACAAACGGAAUGAAUUCAGUCCUCCUAGCUGCAAGUACAAAUCCGUCCUUUGCGGAUCCUUCGAAUUGGUUGCAACAGUUCUCUUUCUUGUUUGCAAAGUGGUUUGGUUAUAUACUUUGUGAAGUUGUUUAUCACUCACAAACCUGAAUGAAUCCGUCUUUUAGUUAGAGUUUUUAGGAGCAGUUGGACCAACUCCUGUUGGUUUCUAGGUUUUUGUUCUAAUGUGUCAACUGUGACGAAAAGAUACUAGUUCCACAACCAUUCACUUUCUGUUUUGACAAGGUUAUAUUUUAAAUUACUCUAAUCUACGAGAUUCGGGAUUAGAAGUUCUGUGCAAAGGGGUGGGUACGCUGCCCUGCCCAACUGGGGGAUUCAAACUCGACGGUUGAUUCACAGGUGAUAAUAUAAACUUUCACAAAACAAUCUUAUAUGAUUGCCUCAAGCAAAAACAAUAUUCGCAUCAGUGGCACCCUGCAACAAAAUGCUGCAUUGCAGUUGCUAGCCCAAACCAAAUCAAACCAAAUGAAUGGAAACGCGACUGAAUUGGUCCUAGUUACUCUCUUAGACGGAGUGGUAUAUUUAUAUUAACAACAAAUUUUCAUCAAUCUUCUAAAAUAUGAUUCACUACUUAUGUGUAAGAAUCUAAAUUCGUCUUCUCAAACUCCACCGACCGAUGAUUAAACACAUGUAGUAGUUGAUCACACGCUUCUCGUGACGAAGGCCUCUCUGCCGGGCUGGUUUUUGUGCACUGCAGUGCAAUUUCAAGAACCUGGAACGCGGUGUUUUCUUCUCCGGACAAGAGUGGUUUCAGUGCAGGGUCUAUCAACUCUUCACGAGUAGAAUCCUGCAUUUCAAUAUGCAUCUCGACCCACCUCACCAUGUCCAUCUCCACGCCGAAAGAUGAAUCUGUCGGCAUUCUCCCGCUUACAAGCUCCAUUAGCACAAUCCCCAUGCUGUAGACAUCACUCUUUUCUGAUGCCUUGAGUGAAUAAGCAUACUCUGAAAUCAUAUGACAUAUAGUUAGAAUCAAACGCAUAGAUCAUUCAUGUCAAAAUCAAACUCUAAAUUCGGUAUCCGAAGUACAAGAAAGAACAUAAUUCAAAGCAUAACUGAUUAGUACCUGGUGCUAUGUACCCGUAGGAUCCAGCAAACCAUGUAUUAGAUUCUGUGUUAGACUCGUUGUUCUCGUUAAGUGUCUUGGCAAGGCCGAAAUCCCCAAGAUGUGCCUCCAUGUUCGAAUCUAGCAAAAUAUUGCUCGACUUAAUGUCCCUAUGGAUGAUCUUUGGCACGCAGUCAUGGUGGAGAUACUCCACUCCUUGAGCUAAUCCAACCGCAAUCUUUAGCCGUGCCUCCCAAUCAAGGCUCUUCUUCUUCUUGUUACUUUGCUCUUGGUGUAUCCAAUCAUACACACUUCCGUUCUCCAUGUACUCGUAUAUUAACAGAUUGGAUCCUGCUCCUUUGUUGCUGCAGUACCCCAUUAACUUCACCAGAUGCCGGUGUCUUAUCCUCCCAAGUGUCUUAAUCUCCCUAGUGAAGGUUUUGUUCGCCAUAAGAUCAUCUUUAUACAAAAUCUUCUUGACUGCCACAGUUUCUCCUGUUCGCAGUUCAGCUUUGUAGAUUACUCCCGACCCUCCUGAGCCAAUUACAAAUUCGUUGCUCAGAUUCUUUGUGGCGUCCAUGAUGUCUUUCCAUUUGAUAUCUGGCUUGACAGAACCGUUUGAGAAAAGCAGUCUUCGCUGAGCAUGGGAAGAACUGGACGAGUACAAGAAGUUCAUUUCACGGGCUUUCCGAAAAGCUUCUCGCUUGUGUUUCAGGAGAGAAGCAGCUCCGAAUAUCAGUAGAGCAAUUGCAGAUAGAGUACAUAUUGCAGCAAGGGCUACCACUGCCAAUUCUGUUGGAUCAGACUGCUGCUUUCUGCCAAUGCAGCUUCCAAGAGGGCUUCCACAAAGAUCCAAGUUUCCCUCAAAAGCCUCAGCCGGCCAGUGCGAGAGUUGCUUGCUCAACUUUCCUUGCAGAUUGUUGUAAGACAGAUUAAGCUUUCCCAAGCUAAUCAUCCCACCAACUGGGGAAGGGACUUCGCCAAUUAGUUGAUUGUGAGAUAGAUCAAGCACUUCAAGUUUUGACAGAGUCCCAAUAGAGGCCGGAAUCUGACCACUCAAAUUGUUGUAACUAAGGUCUAAAAUGCUCUGAAGAUUUUGGAGUUGUCCAAGCUCAUAAGGCAAGUCACCAUCAAAUCUGUUCUGUGAGAGCCGAAGCUCAUACAGCUUGCCUAGUUUCCCAAUGGCAGGAGGGAUUGGACCUGAAAAAUGGUUGUGGUCGAGGUUUAGGACAUUAAGCGAUUCCAGGUUACCAAUCUCAGCAGGGAGGGUUCCAAUGAGAGAAUUCUCACUCAUGGAAAGCACUAGCAGUUUAGAACAAUUGAACAAUUCAAUCGGAAGAGCCCCGGUGAAGCGAUUUGAGGACAGCUUCAGCUCUCCUAACUGAGGCAAACCUCCAAACCACUGCGGAAUUGUGCCUGAAAGAAGGUUGUCGUUCAAGUCAAUGUGGGACAGUUUCUUGCACGAUGAAAGCUCGUCCGGUAUUGAUCCUGUGAGUGAAUUUCCGGACACAUCUAGCAGUGAUAGCUCACUGAUAUUCCCCAAUGUGUGUGGGAUUUUACCAGUAAACUGAUUGUUCCCUAAUCUCAACCUCUGGAGAGAUUUCGAAUUUCCGAGCUGGGAAGGAAUCUCAUGAUCAAAUGCAUUGUCAGUGACAUCAAACGAAAGAAACGAACUGGAGCUACACAAUGCAGCAAUGCUUCCAUUCAACUUGUUUCCCGAUAAAUUCACUCUAGUCAAAUUCGCCAUAUUAGCCAAUGUAUCAGGAAGAUUACCUUCAAGUGAGUUGUUGUACAGCAUGAACUGCUCCAUAGCUCCAAGGGACCCGAAAGUUAUCGGUAUCCCGCCAGAUAAACGGUUAUCCGCCAAGUCAAGAAUAGUCAGCUUGUGACAGUUCCCCAAUGUGGCGGGAAUCUCACCCACCAACUCAUUCUGCCUGAUAUGAAGUAAGUUCAAAUCUUUGAGCCUCCCAAUAGUAACCGGGAUCUCCCCGCUGAACCGAUUUCCAAAAAAAUCGAUCAUCUGCAAGCUCGAACAGUUGCCAAUCUCCAUUGGGAUUUCUCCAGAGAGCUGAUUGUCGUAGAGAUAUAGAAUCUCGAGCUCCCCAAGCAUUCCAAUCUCGCUCGGCAGAGGGCCCACCAAGUUGUUAUGGUACAGAAUAAGUGACUGCAGAUUGCUGAGGUUUGAUAUCAACGGAGAAAUCGAACCAACCAAGCUGUUGUUGUGGAGCAACAGAUCAGUCAGCUCCACUAGUCCAUAAAUCUCAUCUGGGAUUGACCCGUUGAUCAAGUUAUUGGACAAGUCGAGCUGCUUCAUUGAUCGGCAUUGGCUUAAUUCUGCUGGGAUCUCGCCGACAAGUCCCGAACCUGAAAUCAUUAGGAGCUCCAAACUUGUUGUGUUGGAACAUAGAUUUCUUGGGAUGACGCCGGAAAGACUGUUGUUUGAUAAAACUAAGGUUGCCAGCUGAGACAUGGUGCCAAAUUCGGCCGGAAUACCUCCUGUGAGCUUGUUCACGGAUAAAUCAAGACUCUGAAGAUUUCCCAGUUGAGAUAUGGACUUUGGUAUUGGACCUUCAAGUUGGUUCCCCAUGAGAUUCAUGUAUCCGAGUUGACUCAGUUUACCGAGUUGACUCGGGAUUUGGCCGGUGAGGCUGUUGUUUCCCAAGUUCAGGAGCUGGAGGUUACCGAGACGGCCGAGCUGCGCGGGGAUUGUUCCGUUGAGGGUAUUGUUGGCAGCUGUGAAGAUAGUGAGGCUGGAGCAGUUCCCCAACUCAGCAGGAAUCAAACCUUCGAGUUGAUUGAGCUGCAGGAUUAAGUUCUCCAGUAGGCCGAGUCGGCCGAGUUGGGGAGGUAUUGGACCGUUGAGGCUGCAUGAGGCCAAACCAAGCGUGACCAAAUUGACAAGUUUGCCAAAAGUGGCGGGAAUGGAUCCAGUGAGCCCAUUGUCGCCGAUUCUCAUCACUUGGAGACUCGUCAGCGAGCUGAGAUGAUUCGGGAUGUCCCCAGUGAGCUGGUUUGAAAAGAGAAGCAAAGAUUCCAAGGACGUGAGGUUAGAGAGGGUUGGUGGGAUGGGACCCGAGAGGCGGUUAGAAGAGAGAUCAAGGUGGAGCAGGUUUUGCAAACUACCGAGUGAGGGCGAUAUCGACCCGGCGAGUGACGAGCCGGAAAGGUUGAGCCCUACCGCUUGGACCGAGUUGUCCAGCGAGUCAAGCGCACAAGUCACACCUCUCCAAGUACAGAAAUUUGGGUCGCUUUCGGACCAGCCAUGCAAAACAUUUUCUGGGUCUUCCACAAUUGCCCUCUUCACCUCCAAAAGCACACUCAAAGUUGUAUUGCCAUCGAGCUUCCCCUCGCAGAACAUAAACCCUAAUGAAAGAUGCAGAAACAGAGCAAGAAAAAGAGGCAAAAUUGCAUCUCUUACUAAAGCCAUUUUUCUCAACCAAAACAGAGCAGCUCGAAGCUAGAUGAUGAACUGGUUGGAAUCUACUGUUUCUGGGUGGUUGACAACAGAGCCAGAAAAAGAGGCAAAAUUGCAUCUCUUACUAAAGAUGCCAUUUUUCUCAAACUAAAGCUGGCAUCUUUAGUUUGGGUGUGCUGGUAAAUUUUUGGGUGGUUGAAUGUUGGACUCGGAGUUUGAGCGCUUGCACGUGAAAGUGUGCAUGGAAGAUUGAAUGGGCAGUAAUUGCAUGCACUGGAAAAUUGAGUUUUCUUUUUUCUUGCAGGAGUGGGUUUAUGAUGGAGGCCUAAAAAUGAGUGCAAAUCUAGAGAGAGAAAGAGAUAGAAGAGAGAGUCUCAAUGAGGCUACAAGUUUCUUAUCAGCUGUGCUGCAACUGCAAGCUGCAAAUUCAUAUUAAUGUGAAAACAACACAAGUCUUAAAUAAUGGGAAAAAGUUGGAUUGACUAUUGAGAAUUGAGAAGGUCAAACUAGGUCAGAGAAACACCAAGAGAAUAUUUUUAUAUUUAAUAAAAAUGGUUUUAUUAUCCAAUAUAAAUGUGAAUAGGUACACAAAGGUCAGAGUGUUUAUGCAAUUUGCAGUGAAAGAAAAAGAAAACAGAAGAAAAAACAGAUGACUGUUAAGAUAUGGGCUUACACGGGAGAAGAUACAGUGGUUGGGUGACCGACAGAGGACGAUGUUUGUGGGUUUCACAAACUGGUGUAUUAGCUCAAAAAUGACUGAGUCCCUACUCAGAAAGUGAGCGGUUGAAUUUCUAAAUUUUAAUCAACCAAACUAUGAAGAAUAUAGAAUAUUUCUGCACUUGAAAGUUGCAAGCUUUACAAAGUCAACAGAGUUCCCCCAAACCCUAGUCAUUCCCUACGUAACCCAAUUAACUUACUUCUAGUUCCAUCCUACUCUUAAUAUAUAUAAUUUAAUUUGAUUAAUUAAUCAUGUUUUGGUAGCUUAAGUCUUAGAUGUAUGAUAGAAAUGUAAUACCAUAUACUUUAUAUGUCAUGCUUAUUGGGUUUGAGAUACCAAAUCCUCAUGUCCUUUUGUCCAUUCAAUAAUCAUAGUUGUUUGAUAUAUAAGCUUGAUUGGUUGCAUGCAAUAUACUAAACCCUAUUUUUACUCCAAUUUGUGUGUAUUAUUUGUUCUGUUUGCCCACUCAAUAAUCAUAGUUGUUUGAUGAUGAUUUCUCAAUUCUUGUACUUCUCAUUGAUAUGGAUUUUUAUAAAUUUGGAAAUAAAUUAUUGUGUGGUACCUGAACAAAGCUACAUGACGUAACUAAUGAAGGAAGUUGAGGUUUCAUUUUAAAAUUAAUUGUUGAUGCUAAGGUAGUCUACAUAAGCACAUGUAAGGUUCUUCAACAUUUUGAUAUGAGACGAUGCUAAGCAUCCUCAAAAUCAAUUCAUGUGUUAUAGUAUAAUUGAAUGAAGAGUUUAUAAAUACUUUACAAAGAUUACCCACAUAGUCGUGUUUCAAUAAUGUUUGCCCUUUUUUCUAGCUUUCGCGACUCUUUGGAGAAAAACUCCUUCAGAACAUUAUCUUAAUAAUUAUUAGUUAAUCAGUAUAGCGUCAUGAAUAGUCUUCUUCAUAUAGUAGGCCAUGCUCUUCCAGACUUCCAUGCACAUUUACAUCAAUAAUUUCAUAAAGUUGAAAAUAAAACCAAAAACGCAGUUGUCAGUUUAUACGAAAGUGUAUAUUACUUAGAAGUUGAUGAGAUGUGUUUAUUUGGUAAGCAUGCAACGACUCAAUACACAUUCUUCUUCCAGCCACAAAAGCUGCUGAUAUCUUUUGUAUAACUGACACGGUGUUUUGGUCUAUUGUGCAGCGUUUGCGAUUAUUUAUCUGUCUGCGAUAGAGUCUGAUUCAAAGCAAGCUCACAUUUUUUUGUUUUCACCUUAACCUCCAACAACUCAUAGUAAUUGAUAACAUUGAAACUCCCUUCAUUAAAUAUAUUUACUGAUGUAUAAAAUAUACAAGCAAGAAUACCAUGCAUGUGAACCUUUUCCCCUCUGUUACCUCCACCAACCUAUUAAAAGAUCGAGUGCUAUUUUAUUGACAUGUAUACAACUGAUCAUUGUUGCAUGCAUGGAGUCACCUACUUGGUAAUUAAGUUCAUGUUAUAUCAGACAGUUCAUUUCUUAUAUAUUAAUCUAAAUGAGACAAUAUUACUUUGUAAUAUAUUCUUAUAAAAUGAGAUUUUAUAGUAUACUCUGGGGUAUCUUAAACUUUAGAGUUUUAGGCCGUAAAUUCUUUACCAAUAAUACAACAAUAUUUAACAACUAAAAACUCAAAUUAUAGGAUACCUCAAAGCGUAAUAUAAUUUUUUUCCUCGUAAAAGCAUUGCUAGUUUUGUUGUUAACUUGCCAGGCUGAUCGUUACCGUUGAUGCUGACGGACUGUUGCUGCAUGGUGUGAGCCUCAAACAGCAUCUACUCUUAAUUAUUUUGGAAAAUUUAGCAAUUGAUGCGUAUUCUAGGUCAGGAUAUUUUUUGGUAUUUUAUGUCAUAAGAUUUUCUAGUAAGAUAUAUAAUUAGUGUUACGAUUGCUUUCUUAUUAUUUAUUAAGGUUUACAAAUGAUUUCCCCUUUUUUUAAUAAAAAAAAUACACUCUGUAAUAAAAGAAUGAAAUUUUGAUAAGAUUUGUCGUUUGGAUAUGUAGACAUCUUGAAAUAUAGAAUUUGGAAAAGAUAUAUUAUUAUUAUUAUUAUUAUUAUUAUUAUUAUUAUUAUUAUUGUCAAAUGAUAAAUUUUAUUUAAUCAAGUCAAAUUAAUAAGUUUACAUCCACAACAAGAAUAUUAAAAAGAAAAUCGAGACCAAUACAAUCCCAAACGGUCCUGGACUGAUCACCGAUAAAAGUCUAGCUUGAGUUUCACAACAAGUAUGUUGUCCUGGCUUCACUAAAUUAAGAGAAAAUGAUCGUUUUUGUCAAUCAAAUGUUAAAGUUUAAACCCGUGAUCGCAUGCUGAGGUAAUACAUACAAAAAAAUAGGCUUAAUUACUAUAUCUGCAAUGGACUAUAAAUUACGUAAAGAUCAGAAGAAUAUUAACUUUUCAAUCGAUUAAUUAUUAUUUCUAAAUUAAGCAAGCCUGGAUCUGCAUGCCAAUAUUCCUCACAGAUUAGUAUUAAUUAUAAAGUAAUCUGUAUUGUAUUUGUGCAUACGCUAGAAUCAUGACUAGGAGGGCGAAAGCUUGGACGAAUUAACGAGUGGUUAGACAAUUACAAAAUGGUUGAGAUAAAUAAAUUGUACAAUUAUAUGCUUAUAUUCUUAGUCCAAGAGAAUACGACGGAGACGAUGAUACUUAAUAGACUACUUAAACCCAUGAUCACCUGAUUCACAAUAUAUCUUCUUUGUUGACUCGUAAUAUUAUAUAAUCAAUAUUUGAUUAAUAUCCGUUUGCAAAAUUUGUACACUAUUGCAAAAUAUGGGUUAGGCCAAUCGGCUCAAGCGGUGUAAUCUCUAUUUUGCACUAAGUUGAAAUUCUCAUUUCGUGUAAAUUUUAGAACAGGUAUUUCUCGAUUCCCCCUUUCCCCCCAAAAAGCAAAGCUGACAAUUUCUCUAUGAACUUUAAUUUUAGCCAUUUACUCUCAUGAACUUUAUAAUUGACCAAUUUCUGCUUGAUAUUUAAUUUUAGCCGAUUGCUCCUGAACUUUUAUAAUUACCAAUUUUCUCACUGAACUUUAUAAUUGGCCAAUUUCUCCCUUAACUUUAAUUUUAGCAGAUUACCUGCUAAACUUUUAUAAUUGGUAAUUUCCCCCGAACUUUAAUUUUAUAAUUGCAAAAAGGUAAUUUCAUCGCUAAUGUGGACAACAUAUUGUUUCUCUUUUUCUCUUCUCUUUUGUUAGUUCACUCCUUACACUUUUUGUUUGAAUUUUAGGGUUUAAGGGGAAAUUACAAUUGAGGGGAAAAAUUGGUCAAUUAUAAAAGUUCAAAGGAGUAAUUGGCUAAAACUAAAAUUCAAGGAGAAAUUGGUCAAUUAUAAAAGUUUAGGGGGAUAGAAUUAAAGUUCAUGAAGAAAUUGGCAGCUCCUUGCAAGUUUAGAGAAAAAAAAGUGCAUAUACCUCAUUUUAGAAUGAUGUACUAUUGCCAAAAAUCGUGCAUUGCUUGUAUAAUUGCAAGCAUCUGUUGAAGUUUACUUUCUGGUAACAUGAUUCGAACUUUCAAGCCUUUUGCAAAUUUAUGUGAAAAUAUUUGACAUGCAAAUUAAUUGUCAAAUGAUGAGGAUAGAACAAAUGAGGGGCAAGUAUAUGGACAUGCAUGAUGCAGGGACUUAUAUCAUUAUUUUAAGGAUUUGAAGUAGACGAGCUUAGCUUUUGUUCUACUUCAAACGUACAUAAAUCCCGGAUUGAGAUUCUCUGGAUCAUACUCUGGAGCCCGAUUGACUAAUCUGGAUUGUUUAAUUUAAAUUUUGUGAUCCUCAUUAGCUCAUCUCAUUGACUCACUUCACAAACAAUCUCUCUCUCCAACGCCCAUAUAUUUUUCUUUUAAACUGUUUGAAUUGCUCGAUCUGUAGGCUCUGAAGUGUAAAAUCCAGAGAGAAUCUCAAUCCAUAAAUCCCGACACCACUCGACACUUUCGAGCUUUCCAUAUUGGAUUGGAUCUAUCUUACUUAAUACCUCAACAAUUGAACAGUUUUUCUGCAACUUUUUUAUGAUAUUAGUGGCAAUAUAUUUGGUUAAUUUAACCAUAAGCAAUGUGGCUUUAACAUGAUCAGAAGCAUUUAAUGAAUUGUGCUGCCUGCACCUCACACACAACCUCUCUCCAAUGCCCAAAUAUCUCUCUCUUGAACGGUUCAUAUUGCUAAGUCCAUAAACUCCGCAGUGUGAGAUUCGAAGAGAAUCUCAACACCACUCGAAACUUUUCGAGCAUUCAAUAUUGGAUUUGAUCUGUCUUAAUUUUAUCUCAACAAAUGAACAGUUUUUUUGCAACUUUUUUAUGCUAUUAGUGCCAAUAUAUUUGGUUAAUUUAACCAUAAACAAUGGGAUUUUAACAUCAUAAGCAUUUCAUGAAUUGUGCUAGGUAACUGUGAUACUCACCAACUUAAGAAACUUGGGGUCACAGUAGAGCAAAACAAAAAGUGAUAUGGACGAGGGGUUGGGCCAAACGCCAAGGGAAGGUCGCCACCCUGAGGGAUUAGGGUCUUCUUCACCUACAAGGCCAAUUUAUUACACGUCGAUUUGUUUUUUGUUGCCACCUACCCAUAGCAGAUAGGGUGUCAACAAAAAAGUUCAUUCCGAGUUAAGAGUAAGUUGGCCUACCCAUAGCGUAACAUUCCGAGUUAAGAGUUCAAGAUAUGCAAAGUUUUGGAUUCCACGCUGAUUUUCCGGGCAUUGGUCUUCGUCUGCAAGCUAAAUUCAUCUCAAUUGAUCAUAUUGAUUUGCUUACCUACACAUAGUUGGUAGGGUGCCCUUAUAUUACCUUCAAAGCUUGGGUUUUGGCUUAAUCUCAUUAUACAAUCAAUCACUUUAAUGCCCAGCUUAAUCAUAAGCUCAUGCUACUAGGCUCGACAAUCAUAAAGUUUAAUGUAACUCCUAUAAAGUUGGGUGUCAUCACACUAUUCCCUGAUGUGGGGCUCCAACCACUUAAUAUGUAAACGGUACAAAACAAGUUUAAUAUGUAAACGGUGCAAAACAAGUAAUGAGAAGAACCCAAGUUUUAACCCUUUGCCUCUGCCAUUUGUGAGUAAUAUGGAGACGACGGACCAAAAACAUGAUCCGUGCCCUUCAAGAAAGAGCUAACUGGAGCACUUUCAUAACAUUAACUUUGGUUUUUUUCUUUGCUUUCGAACUCCUUUUUUUUUUUUUUUUUUAGUAUAUCGAUAUUUGUAUACUAUGGGGAGGAGGAGUUCAGCUAAGUCGCACAAUGAGCAGCCUAAUUUAGUAUCAAAUUUGUCAUCCAUGAGAUUUAAACUCUUUUUUAAUUUUUUUUUUAAUUUUGAUAAAAAUGGAUCUGAAAGUUUUGUCGUUGGAGCGUAAUGAUUCUUGGACCUUAGUUUGAACGGGUUUGGCCUUAAAAACUUUGAGUUAAUUCAUUCGAAGGGAUAAUUGGGCUAAGGUUUUGUGACCCAACUUACUCUAUGUGCAGGCCAACUCUCUUUUCAGUUGUUGGAGUAGAUAUGUGUUAUGAUAAUGUUUACGUCCCGUUACAUACUUACAUUCAUGUUCGAAUCCUUUUAUUUUUAUUUUAUAAAUCAUACUAGUUUAGAAUAUCGGUUUGUCAAAGAGUUACCGAACUUUUCCUUAUUUUGAAAGAAAACAGCUAGUAAAAGUGAAACUAGAAGUUUCAAAAUUCUAAUUGUAGUUAAAAAUUGUCUUAAUAUCCAAUGAAAAUCAUAUGUAUCAUGAUGAAACCAUAUCACACAGAUACGCGGCAUCGCAUUAGUUCUUUGAACAAUGAAGAAAUAUUAUUGCAUUAGGUUUUGUGAAAGUCAAUGUUUUUCAAACUAAAAAAUUAAAGCAAUCAUUGUCAAGCUCUACAUAGUACAUACAUGCUAGCAUGUCAUCUCCAUUUGCAGGGGGUGCUUCCCACGUAGUCCUCAACUAAUUAAUGAUUAAACUAAUUGUUAUUCCAAUUAGAUCCUCUAAUCACCAAUACCAUAUGCAAUAUAUAAACAAAGUUUGUCAACACGCUUUCAUUGGAAGGCAAAGCAGCUAGCGUAGUUUUUCAAUCUUGGGCAUAUAGUCUGUACACUUCUGCACAAGAAAUAUGAAUUCCAUAGUUUCCUUGCUCUUAGUUCUUCUUCUUGUUGUUGAAUUAAAUGCUUCUUCAUCUUACCCAGAACACGGUCACGAUCGCCAUGAUGAAGAAACAAACGAGUCCUGGGAGGGAGCAACAACUCUAACUCUAACACUUCCAACAAUAUCAGACGAUUUGCCCUUUGGAGAGUUUCUUUCCAAUUCCUACUAUCACAGGAGUUGUCCAGACCUUGAAGGUAUUAUAAGUAGGAAGGUGAAGCAAUGGCUUAAGGAGGAUUACAGCCUAGCAGCUGGCCUCAUGAGGUUGCACUUCCAUGACUGUGCCAUCAGGGUAAGAAUAUUAUGGCUUAAUUAACCUUCACAUUAUAUAUUAAUUAUUGACUACUUCUAUUUAAACACACAAAACUAACCACAUAUUGAUCACCGCCUUUAUAGAGGUUGGCACCCCGCCAUUUUAUGUAUGUAUAUGUUGUACGUGACUAAUAAUAUUUAUUUGAAGAAUGGAUUAGUAAUGUAGUUAAUUUUGUGUCUCUAAUAAUUUUUUGAAGCUUGAUGGACCAAUAGUACUUAGAAAAGAGUUGGCCAGCUUCCAUACAUCCAUCUAAAAAAAUUAGAAAUUUAUUUAUUUAUUGCUUGGUAUUUGAUUUCUUUUAAUCACAAUUAUAAUGAUUUGAAACACAUGUAGGGAUGUGAUGCCUCCAUCUUAUUAAACCAUGAAGGAAGUGAGAGGGAAGGCAAGGCCAGCAAGACACUGAGAGGGUUUGAAGUGAUAGAUGAUAUCAAGGCAGAGGUUGAGAAGAAGUGCCCAAAAACAGUUUCUUGUGCAGACAUUUUGACUGCAGCUGCAAGAGAUGCUACUGUUCAAAUUGGAGGUCCAUACUGGGCUGUCCCCUAUGGGAGGAAAGAUGGAAAAGUUUCGAUUGCUAAGGAAACUGAGAUGGUUCCCAUGGGUCAUGAAGACAUAACUAGUUUACUUGAGAUUUUUCAAUCACAGGGCUUGAAUGUGGUUGACUUGGUUGUUCUCUCAGGUGAACCAUCUAGUCCGCUUGCAUUUCAAUUGCAUAUGUAUUUUCAUUCAAUCAAUUUAACAUGUUAUGUUGUCACGCUGUCAAUUUAGACCUUACAUUACAUACAUGUUUUAUUGCCACACUAUCACUUUGAACAACACAUUAAAACAUGAACCAAACCUAAUACUAAGAAUUUAGAUUGACAGUCUGAUAAUAUAAUAUUCAAAUUUGUGUGAUAACAAAAAAUGUUAAAGUUUGCCUACAACUCGAACAAAAAUCUGGUUGCUUUUAUUGACAUAAAUGGAUUUCAUCUGUAGGGGCACACACCAUAGGAAGGUCUUCAUGUGAAUCCGUACAACACAGACUCUUUAACUUCAGUGGAACUGCCAAGCCUGAUCCAUCCCUUGAUGCGCAGUACUUGAGCUACUUGGAAAGAAAAUGUAGAUGGGCAUCAGACUAUGCUGAUCUUGAUGCUGUAACUCCACAUAAAUUUGACACUGCAUACUACAUAAAUCUGCAGAAGAAGAUGGGACUUUUAUCCACAGAUCAAAUGUUGUAUUCUGAUCCAAGGACUAAAUCUCUUGUCAGUGCUUUUGCUUCCCAGCCAUCAGUCUUCCACUACCAGUUUGGAAUAUCCAUGGCCAAACUAGGGAAUGUUCAAGUCCUCACCGGUCAAAAUGAAGGCGAAAUUCGAACCAAUUGCAACUUUGUCAACUCUUAUUAAGACCUUUAAUUAUAAUAAGAAACGGUCUCAAAUGCUUACCAUGUUUUGCUUAAUUAAUUAACCAUAUGAUAUAAAUGAAUUUAAUCACUUGUUCGCUCAUGUUCAACAUCCUUUCUUCUCUCUCUACAAUUUCCUAUUAUUUCCCAUUUGUUUGAUGUUCGCCUCCUGCUCAAUUAUUAGAAUAUCAAAGCUGACAAUAUAUCUAUAUAUUAUUGAUAUUUUCUUAACGGUUUCUCAACAAUGAGUGAUAUUGUGCUUAGCACAUCUCAAGGAAGAAAAACUUAAUUAAGUGUAUCUGGUUUGUUUUAUAUCUCUAGUCACUCGAUCAAUCAUAUAUUUAGAAAGAUUGAUAUAUAGGUAGAUAACUAUACACAAGCGAUUAUAGGUAAAAUUUUAGGAAAACUAAUAAAAAUGAUUUGAAAACUUUGAGUUUUAAUGAUAAGGACAAAAUAAAUAGUAAAGUGAAUAGUACUAGGAUUAACUUUUUAGUGUAAAAAUAUGAAUUUUCGUUAAAGUGAACAUGAGUUUUUCGUUUAAGUUCUCUAAAAUCUUUUCAUACAAAAAUAAAACAACCUCAUUUGAUAUAUUUGGCUGAUAAGCCCGGUCAGCAGCCAAGCCAGUUUCAAAUGUUGUCUUCCCGCUCUCCUUUAUUGCACACUUCGACUACAACUCAAAAUCCUCAACAAAUUGAGUCUGCGAGAUAAUCCAACCUUCUAUCAUUAUCACAUGUAGCUUACAAGACGACCCAAACCCUAAUUUGAUGGACAAACAAUGGGUUUAUGAGAAAGAAGCUCCUUAGUCUCGCAAGGCCUGUUUUUUAUUUUCCUUUUUUCCUUCCCCUAGUGGCUGGGUGGUGGUCACAGUAUGAGAAACUUUAUACGGUCCUUGAAAAAACAAUGCAAUAAAAAGAAAAGAAAAGAAAAGAAGGGCUCUGCAUUAAUUGAAUCAUCCUGGACCUAAAUGACAAGCAAUCUUUGACACCUUUAUCCUCUAGGGUUAAGCAAGCAUCUCUGAGUCUCUGACUCAUGCUCUGUGGGCUCUAUUUUGUCCUCUUCCCAAGGAACUAUGGGGUUGUUUGCAGGCGCGCCCUCACUGUGUCAGAAAGGUCAAACCAAGCAAACUGUCCCUUUAUCAGGCAAAUAAAAGAAAAAGUUAAACCUAAAUAUAUAGUAUCUUUGGAUAACAUCUUAUAUCUAAUCCAAAUUCUUUUUUUAUUUAUCUUAAACUUCAUAAACCAUGAGUUAAAUCAUACUUUUAGUUAUAUAUAUAUAUAUAUAUAUAAUAUUGAAAUGAAUAUGUUGUAAUACAGAAGCUAGAAAGAUUACAUUUGAUGUUUUGUUUAUUUGUUCAUUUCUUAAAGAAAUGAAUCAUCCUCAAAGACAUGGGAAAUUAGUCCACAAACAUCUUGUUUUCCCCUUUUUUAUUUGGACGGUGCUAUCUACAUACCUCUCUUUACUUUCCACAUAUUCUAUGUUAAUUUCUGUUCUUUUAUCAUCUUCAAUUCAUUCAAUUCGACAGUCAAAAAUUGAAAGAUGUGUGUGAAAGAUAAAAAGAAGUGUGUAGAUACACCACCCUUUAUUUGUUAGGUCUCUCUCUCAUUUAAACUUUCGCAGAUAUAAACCCUACAAGCAUUUCAAAUCUUGUACCAUUUCUUUUUCUUUUCCAUCUUGAGCUAUGAGCAGCCUUAGUCUACAAAUCCAAACCUUCAUUUCAUCACCAACCUAGAAGCUGCCAAGUCUAGAACUUGCUGAAUGAUUUGAAUACAAGCAAAAAAAUCGUCUUGCAUGGCUAGUAAUGCAAAAUCAUCUACCACCACUUUUACAACCCUCCUCUUCUUUCUUCUCAUCACAUUUCAAAUCACCGUGGCUCAAAAGAAGCAUAGCUUGCCAAUCCCAGGUACCAGUAGUACUUCCUCGAGAUCACUUGGAGUUGGAGUCAUCACUAAGAAAAAUGCUAUCGUGGAAUCUUCUACAAGAAGACCCUCACACGGCAUCAUCAAUUCAAAGGCUGAUCACGAUUUUACAGGCGAAUCGGGACGAAGGAGAGGAGUAGGGUUUCAGGUUCGUCGUGGGAGGCAGCCAAUCCCAUGGAAAGAAAAUAUGUUCAGAGCCGGUGCACAUGAAGUUCCAAGUGGUCCGAAUCCCAUUUCAAAUAGAUGAGGAGUAAUAUUGAGGAAGCUAGCAUAACAAACGUGAUCAAAGUAGAUAUAUAUGAUCAAGAGAAAGAAAUUUAAUAAAAACAAAGAACGUAUAGUCUGGGAUUUUCUCCUUCUUUGUGGCCUGUCUUUUCUGCCAUUUAUUUAUAUGUCGCUGCUGUAAUGUCACUACAGCUUAAUGAUCAUAUGUUAUUUUUAAUCUAUUCCAUAGUAUAUGCUAGAUAUUUGGAACUUUCAGACAAUCAUUUUGCCAUUAUAAGUAGGAUGUAUAUGAUCAUAUUCAAGUAGUAAUGGUCUUCAUGGUCAUCAUCAUUAAGCUAUUUUUGUUUUCUGCACAAUUGUCUUCUCUCUUGCCACCCGCAUUCCCUAUUCUUUUGGAUGUACAUAAUAAAAUAAUUGCGGUUGAUUAUUGUUCAAAAAUGUAAUCUAGCGUUGCCUAUCAAAUAAUUAUUAGUAUUUUGCUCUUUUCCCGCUUCGAAUGGAUUCAUGCAUAUAAUAAUAUAUAACACUAGGAUGAAGCAAUCAUCAUCGAUUACUAAUUGGAUGAAUGAAUAUGGAAUGAAUUACAUAGGACUAGGACAAGAUGUUUCUUAUUUGAAGAAUUUUUUCUUGGUUUUUCCCUUUUCUUUUUUGAAAAAAAAAACAAGCAUGUUUGUAGUUAAGGCACCUGAUGUGGGGUUUGCUUUUUUGCUUUGUAUCAGUUGUCAAAAGAGAAAAAAAGUAAGAAAAAAUAAUUGGAUUUUGCCUUUUGAGAAUGCUCAUGUGAGUGGAUUACGUGUCAUUUUAUUUGCUGGAGCUAGCUACACAUAACUAUUAUGUUCCCUUGGGUUGUGGAUAAACACAGAGAAGGGACAUAAUGAUUCACAAAUUGUGAUGGGUUUGAGGCUUUUAUUUGAGAGACUAGACUUCACUUGCAAAUAUAUGCAAUAAUUAAAGGAAAAAUUAAAAUGAAAAUUAACGAAAAGUAAAAAAAAAAAAAUCUCUUUUAAUGAAAAGUUAUUUUUAAAGGUAUAGUGAAUAGUAUCAGGAAAAUGUAUAAAUGUAAUUUUUCGUUAAAAAUGAACAGUACCAGAAGUGUUUUGUUAAAACUCCCAAAAUUAAAAGGAAACUAAUGAAAAUGACUUGAAAACUUUGAGUUUUAACGAUAAGGACAAAAUAAAGGGUAAAGUGAAUAGUACCAUGAUUGACUUUUUAGUGUAACAAUAUGGUUUUUCGUUAAAGUAAACAGUACCGCGAGUUUUUAGUUAAAAUUCUCUUUUAAAAGGAAAAUAAAGGUUCCCAAAACUUUGUGAGGAUUUUAAAGAUUCUUCAAUUACAUCCGUUUAUCGUACAUUGUGCGGUCAGAAAUUAUUGUAAAUUUUUUUAUUUAAAAUUGAAUAUAAACAGUACCUGACAAAAACUAUCCUCACGAUGUACGAUAAACAGAUCAAAUUGAAAGAUCUCUGAGAUCCUCACAAAAAGAGAGAUUUUUCAGUGUGACCGUCACACGAGGUGGUACAUCACGUGUUUCUUUAUAAAUGGUGGGUUAUGUGUAUUAAAAGGUUAAUAACUUAAAAAUUAAAAUUUUCACCAUGCAUAAAAAUACGUAGUGUACCAUCCGUGUUCUCAUCACAACUAAAAUUUCUCCACAAAAAGGAGAAAAUUUUCAUUGUGAUGGGAACAUGGGUGGUACACCACGUGUUUUUAUAUAAAUGGUAGGAAAUUAUAUUUUUUAAGUUAUUAACUUUUUAGCAUACAUAUUCCACCAUUGAUAUAGUGACACGUCAUGUAUCACUCGUUCCAGUCAUAUUCUCUCCACAAAAAGCCGGAUCCUCACUCCCCAAAACCCCCAUUGUUUUGCGUGUAAAGUUACACAGACCUGGCAUCCAAAGCAAUGGUGAAGAACGAAGAAGGGUUUCUUUUUAAAUUUAGGGGAAUAUCCCUAAAUAACCCUUGUUGCUUGAUUGGAACUACAUCGAUACCCUUUAUUAGUCUUUGAUAAGUCUCUUCCUUUUAAAAGCUGAAGCUGCUGAACCAGAACCAUGAAAGCGUGGUUUUCAUCGUCGCGUACCUCAUGCAGUUAUCCUCUUCUACUAGCUCUUGUUUGCUUAUGAGUGGAGCUGCUUGGCACUUUGGCAAUAAGGUUACAUGAUCUUCAAUAAUCAUGGAAAAGAUUGACCAAACUCUGCAUGUUGUUCAAAAUUUCAUAAAAUGUGGUCAUGCAUGUGCUCCAUGUUAUUGUUAUAUAUGAAACUUCAUUUUUUCAUAUUUGUUUUUAUGUGAUGAACAACUACGAAACCUUAAGUUUGAGCUAACUACUCAUAAAUUAUCAUUUCAACUAUCAGUUUAUUGUUACCCUUGUACAAAAUGUUAGACGAGGUAAUUCUAAGUUCAAAUCUCCUUACUCGUCCAUCAAAACUACUAAAAAAUUAAUCAAUUCUAAAUUUGUUCAAUGGAUGGAUAAUAUGGUUGGGCUUAAUUAUAUUUCUCUGUGCAAUGCAGAUGAUCUCUUAAUCUCUUUUUGUCAUUUGGCUAUUUUAUAUAUAUGUGAACGAGAAAUAUAUAAUGGAAAGUGAGAAAAUAUCUGCAAUGGUAUAUUCCAUCAUCCCAAAGAACCCUUUGAGAAAGCAUGCUUAAGUCAAAGACAAAGACACAUAAUUGUUUCCUAAUGAUUCUUCCCAUCUCGCUCUCUGAGAUGGUGUUAUCGUCUAGAGGAGGAAGAUUAGGCGGUUCCCCUUUGGAAUCAAAGCAUAAUUCUGCCUUCACUUUUGAUAUUGAGUGAGCUCUUAAUUAUCACUUAUUUUAUCACUUUAAUAAGAAAACUUUUGUGUCCAAGACUCAAGCAACCCUUUCCCUAUAUAUACACUUUUAUAUAUAUAUAUAUAUAUAUAUAUAUAUGUGUGUGUAUAGCCCUGCCCAAUGCAGAAAUCUUGGGUAUAAAACACAGAGAAAGAAAAAUCACCCACCAAAGAUAACACCAGCAGUCAAGUCAUCCAAUAAAGAGACGAAAAGAAUUGCUUGUCUCUUUUGAUCAAAGUCAUCAGAGUCUUUUCGUACCUUUCUUUAUUACAAGCAAUUCUUUCUUUCAAAGGAGACAAGCAAUUCUUUUCAUCUCUUUAUUGGAUGACUUGAUUGCUGGUGUUACUUUGGUGGGUGAUUUUUCCAUCUGUGUUAGCAAGUCAUCCCUGCCCUAUGGUCUUCUACCGAAAAAGUUCUCUCUUGCAACCAUUCCACCAAAAUAAACGAGUGCUUUACUUUUUUAAUACAUGACAAACAAAGGUUCUUUCUUGCAACCAUUUCACCAAAUUAAACGAGUGAUUCACAUUUUUACAAGUGACAAAUAUUAAUUAAUUGUUGACACCAUUUAGACUAUAAAAUGAUUGCGAGACAAUCUCUCAUUAUACAGAGCUAUAAACACGAAAUGAAAAUUGAAUAGUCACAGUUUAAUUCCUUGGUUCUAAAAUGGACAAUUCAGAAAAAUAAUGAUAAUUACCAUUGUCACUUUACUAAAUUUCACAAUCAUUUUACAAAGUACUUUCUUUGUUACAUUUGGUGUUAAGGGAGACCAAAGGCGGAGAGUGAGGAUUCAAACCUUGGCCUAAGUGUGCGGUAAAUACUCUUAAACAACGGAGAUACAAACCUCGACACAAGUACUAUUUUCAGACUCACUAUCUACCUGUUGGUAUCUCUACAAAGGAAAUAAAAACAAAACUCCUCGGAAGGCAAAGACCAACAAUCGCGCCUUCUUAUAUCUCCUCACAGUAGCGUUGCCUUGUGUUUGAGCCCAUAAAUGGCUUCGGCAUGGUGAGCAUUAAGAUUGCUACACUCGAGCAUCAAAAGAAAUCCCAAGCUUUGCACAUUUGUAAAACUUUUGUGAGAGCAUUUUUCCACCUUUCACACUUGUCAGCGCAUGUAAAAUAGUCAUUCCUGUGAUCCGUGAUCCAAUCCAUGCACCCAAACCAUCACUUUUGGAAUCAAGGCAUUCCUAAUUUGGCCUGUCAUCCUGAUCUCCCUUAAACCCUACGGAUUAGAAGAAAAUCAGAGGUCAAUAAAAUGGGGAGAAUGGCACGAAGAAUGAGAGCACAAGAGAAGUAGAGAGUAUGUACUUUCAGCUCUUCGCCAGCACCCAGUUGAGGGGAUUGUGUUACAGAAUUUAUAUAUCCUCGAAAGGCAGUUUACCAGACUUAAUACUUCAAAGUCGUAAAUUGCAGUCCUCUCCGCCUAAAAGAAAAAUAUAUAAGAAAACGUCGAAGGCUAGAACUUGCCCAAAAUAAAUGGCAUAAGCAAUAAUAAUAUUCACCUGACAUGACAAAUCUCUCAGAUGGGUCAACUCCAAGCUGCAAAGUGCAAACGAGUAUCGGAAUUCACAUGCCCCUCGUAAGAUUGUACAGCUCCUCUUUGGAUUAGGCGUUGGUGGUAAAGCUUCACCUGAAAAAAAAACAAGAACUAAUCAGAAUGACAUUGACCAAAAUCGUUGCAGCAGCAACCUUAGAAAAAAACCAUAUCUGGAUGUUUUCGCCUUUUCCCUGAGGUUACUUACUACCCAGGCAUCAACCCAGUUCUUUCUCUUUAAAAAAAUUGGACCUCUAGUCAUGGAAUGCAAAAUUUUAGUUGAUUGCUAGAUAUCUGAUGUGUUGAGAGGAACAGGGUAAUGUAUAUAUAGAUGACAAUGAAUUCAGCUCAAGCAAGGACCAUUAAAAACAUUCAUGUUCUUAUUAAUGAUUGUCAAGUGUUGCAUAUCUAAAGACCUGUGUUACACAGCAUAAGAAAAGAUGCCGACACUUCCAAACCUGCAAUUCAUGCAAAUCCGCCCCAAAGCACCAUCACUUAACUCUUUUUGUUUCCUGAUACUUCCACACCUGCAAUUCAUAGAACACCAAAAUAAAACAAAUUACAAUUUCCUGCCGUCAUUUGUUGCAAGUUUCCUGCUGUAACCUAUACGUUGCAAGUUUCCUGCUGCAACCUAUAUGUUGCUGGAUUCUAAACUUGGCCCUGCAUGCCAAAUAUAGACUCACAGAGGCUUACAGUAAAAUUUUGAAAUUAAAUGUAUACUGUUACGUCUAAUAAUGGUAUAUAUGCUAUUCCUAAUAAAAAAAGAACAAAAAAAUCUGUCAGUAUGAAUUAGGGCACUAAUCAAGCUGAAAGUAAAACCUGGAAACAAAUUGGUGGAAAUCAUAAUGUGCUAAUUGGUAAACUUAACUUUAAAAUCUUAAACUGAAGGCCUACAUUAACAUACCACAGGAUGGCAUGCUUGUGCCUUUUGGAAUUCCUCAUUGAAGUUACACCUCCCUUAUUGAAAGGAAUGAGAUUACCGCAUAACUCCCUAGCCUGAAGCAUCUUAGAAGUUCUUACACUUGUUCGCCUACAUGAGUUGUUCGCCUACAGCAAGAUGAAUUACAGCCAGAGUCAAGUAUUUUGACAAUUAUGUAAAUCACCGUAAUAAAAGCAUAACAAAACAGAGAAUAAGAAGCUAUGGUAAUCUCAGAGAAGAAACAACUACUUUACAUCUAUGUGUUCAAUAAGUAAUACGAUGCAAAAUACAUAUAAUAAAAGGGAUGCCUGCCUAGAAAUUCACUAGUUUAGUUGCAACCUUACAACAGUGGACACUAAUCUAUGAUUAAGGUCAUUAAUAUGCUAACCACAGCAAAAGAAAUUAUCACUACAAGGACAUGAUCUUGCGGCUAUCGAACUAAUUAAACGGCAACAGAUUUUACUCAGCUAACCACUCCAUUUAUCUAAGUUUUAAUAUGGGAGCUGCAGUCGACAAACCAAAAUAUUCAUCCUGUAUGACAUGAAAUUCUUGGCAUGCCAUUUUAGAGUGCUAAUAGCAAUUCUCUAACUCUAAGGUGUAAAUACUAAAUACACAAAAUUCCCAGCAAGCCAUAAAUUUUUUCGAACUAGCUCGAUUCUAAUGACAAUUGUAAGUAACCUCUCAUUAGUGUGACAUGAAAAACUCACUAUAAGUAACUAAAGAGCUUCAACAAAGCAAUUGGAACACAAAAGUGAACUCCCCAACCAAAACACAAGUAGCAACAAAACAUAAAUCCAAGUGAUAGCCCAUAAAAAAUAGAAACAUCCAGAGCAAUGUCAAGCUUAAAAACAGUAAAAACAACAAAGAUACAAACUUUGAAACAGGAAAAACUGCUAACAACAUGCAAACCUGGAAAAGCAAAAAAUUUGGGUUCAAAGUUCAAAUGCAGAACAACCAGCGUACCUUGGCCGGCGUCUGAGCUCUGGAAGAAGCAGAAGCAGUCAUACGACGAGAGCCCGGGAUGGGGCCUUUGAGUGGGAAGUACCUAUUCUUCUCCCAUCAUAGUAAAACCCAGGAAGAUCUGAAGAGCCCGAAUUCAUAAUCUGAUCAGUGUUUCGAAAAAAACCCACAAAAAUAAAGCUGAAAAAGUUGAAGGGAUGAGAUCUUAUCGUACCUCCUGCCAUGGUUUUGCAGAGAAACAGAGAGCAACGUUGAAGCUGCUGUGUCUUUUGUGUUGUUUAGCGCAGAAAAGGGGGGAAGGUGGUGGAAGUGUCGAAAAGGUGGAGGGCUUUAUGGAAAACGGUCACGAGUCCCUACCAUAACCGUUGAUAUCCGGGUUGCUGAGGUGGCGCUGUGGCGCAGACAAAAUGUUGGAGAUUGGAAUGAGGAUCUCAUUCCGAAGAUAUCCUCACGUCUAUUCAUCAUACAUCAUCGGUUAAAAAUUAUUAUAAAUUUUUUAUUUAAAAUUAAAUAUAUAAAGUAUAUAACUAAAAUUAAUCGCACAAUAUACAAUAUAUUCAUAUAAUUGUAAGAUUUCCGAAAUGCGCUUUGAUUCGGAAAGGAUCCUCAUUUGGAAGAUUGACCGUCCCAUAUGCCUCCAAAUCUUAAGGUAUUCUAUUAAACUGGGCUGGGCCCUGGACCGAAGGCUGUUGUUUUAGUCCACACAAAUCCAAGUUGGGUCGGAUCAUCCAAAUAUUGAGGGAUUUUCUCUGAGGAAAGUGAGCAUGCAUAAAAGAAUGAAUUUGUAAAUCUUUAUUUUAUCACUUGUACGUGCAAAAAGUUGAUGCUAUUCACACUUACAUGGCUUUUCACUUUUUUUCAUCCAAUUAAAUGUAUUGGAGAUGAUCAAAUAACAAAAACAGAUGAUCAAAUAACAAAAACUAACAAAUAAUGUAUGAGAAGUAAAAGAAAAAGUGCGGAUAGCACCACUCCUAGAAAAAUUAUUGUUUGGGCCCAAAAUAUCAGCGUGGGCCGAGUAGAGAAUCAUUCUCGGCCCAGAAGGCCUUACGACAAGGUUAUCAGGGAUCGUUUAGUUUUGGAUCGGUUAGGUCAUGGGCUUCCAAACCUGGGUUGGUUAAGUCAUGCUGCAAGACGAGUCGAAUCCUGGUGCAAUGAGGAGUCUCGACGAGAUUAACAACUCGGAAGUGAAUCUGGCUCGAUAUAGGACUGGGUUCAAAAGUAUAGUGAAAAAGGACUGGUCGAGUUGGAGUUUGAUUGGGAGAAGAAGUCCUAAUCCGGGUAGGUUUUUAACUUGACCUUGAAGAUAUCCGAUGCUAUAAAUAGAGGAGGUUGUGCAUCGUUUGAGGCCCUUCCAAUUCAACACACAACUACCCUGCGCAAACUCUCUCAACAACUUUGAGAUUUUUUUUUAUUUUCUCUUUUCGUUGACACAUCAACAGCACUGUGAAAGCAACCGGUGAUAUCUUUAGUCGGCAUAGAUAGCUCUGUCGUCGUAGAAUCAGCCGAUCUCGCAGCAUCUUCCGUUGGCAUCAACAACACUGCGGCGAGGAUGGUUGGUUAUUUAUCCAAGUCUCGGUCGAGAAGGAUUUCCGGAUCCUUAUUGGUCGAGGUCAUCUCAUUAGCAUUUUCGGCAAAAUGAGGUGUUAUAAGUUACUACAUUCGGCACAUUGAAAGCCGAAUUUGAUAUUGAACUUCUCUAAGUUAGCAGCCUUGUCUUCAGGCUCUAGAACCCGAAGGCCGACAAGUUCCUUCCUUGGCCGCAGUCGCGAGAUUCAGAAGUCAGCAGCGCACCCAACGCAAUAUCAACAAAUUUUACUCCUCGACCGAGCUCGGCCGACGAGUUGACACGCCCUGCAUACAACCGAAGGACGUAGUUAACUUACUAAUUAUUCGGUCUGCGCGCCACGUAGACUUGGUAGUUUUUAAGGUCAACAAUUACGGUUAAUUACUUAGACUUAAAAUCUUUGGACAAAACGUCACUUACAUAAAUUUUUGUCUAUGAUUUUGGUAAGUUUGAUCACGUGACUUGCACCUACCAACUUUUUUCAUGUCAAUUUCAUCAGUUCAUAACAAAAUGAAGGUGAAAAACAGAAACGACCAAUUUUUCAUCAUCAACUCAUUUUAUCUUGGUUAACUUAAACAACUGGAUUAGUCAAAUGGGGUGUGUGGAUGCAAAUUUUCUCCUCUUCGAUCUUGGACGAUUUUGCACCUACAAAACAACUAGCACCUUAGGUUAAGGCCAAGAGCCUCACGCCCCCACGAUGAAUGGGGGGGGGUUUUGGCCGAAGAACCUCCGAUGCCAAAGUUAGAAUUUUAGAGAGAAAUAGUGUUUAGAGUAUUUGUGAUUUUUUGUGAGAGAGUUGGAAUGAAUUUUUGGUGAGAAUAUGUGUUUAUUUAUAGAGUUAGGGUUUGCCCUAUUUGAAUAAUAGUAGCCAGCCAUAGGGUUUUUGUGGGGGUUAAUUUCAUGUUUAAUUUGCCAAUUUAUUGGCUAAUUAAAUAUGAAAAUAAUAAAUGGGUGGUUAUAAAAAUGAAUGAUUAUUUUAAUAAGGAAAAUGGGAAAGAUGAGGAUGUUAUGGAAUGUUUGAAAUAAAUGGCUAAUUGAAUAAGGAAAAAAUGAGGUAAAAACAUAUAUGAAAUAGGUUUUGAAUUGUUACCCAUUUUGGGUACUCCUGACUUGGUUGAUGGAUGAUUCUCCACUGCUCGCGUGUAGGAGACCCGGUAUGCCUCCAGGGUAUUUUUGUCCUAUUUUGUCCAAAAAUCUACGUGUCGCCUAGUGAAUAUUUUUGGCUCCACAAAUGCCCCCACACCUGUUGGGCUGCUCGCUCGGAGAAAGGGCAGCAGGUGUAGAGAUCUUCUUGCUUUAGGAAACGUAGGAUUGCUUCUUAUUUUGAUGUUGAUUCUCUCUUUAAUUGGAAAUUAGGCCCUUCUAGGAAAGGGAAAUAAACUUCUCUCAAAGCCUAUUUAAGUCCACCUUAAGUGGGUUAUUAAAUCAACUUUGGAGAGCAAUUUAUUCUACCCCACAAGAGAGAGAAAGUUAGAGGAUAUUUGUUCCCCCUCCUCUAGCAAUCUUCUACAUCUUGCCCGUGCAAAGGACCGUCUUUUCGUUGAUUUCUUCAUCUUCUCCGUGCUGCACCGAUGUAAGAAAAAUUUAAUUUUUCUUGCCUUCUUCUUGGAUUAGUGCUAUUGCGGGGCAGCCGUCGGGGUGGUGCAGUACGUCGGCUGGCAGGGGCCAGGAGUUGGCUCGGCAUGGGCCGAGGAGAUGUCGUGGCAGGGACCACUGCUUGGGCAGACUUGGCUUGGCUUGAGCCAAGGGCAGCUUGUGCGGCUGGGGUCGCGGAUUGUGGCGCUGGGGCGCAGUGCUAGGCGAGCCGCAUGGCUAAUGUCCUUUGGGCUCUUGGACUUGACUCGGGCCAGGCUGGCGAUUGAGAGAAAUGAGGAGAUUACGGGUCUCAUGGAAUGCUGGAAUGUUGGGCAUGCAGGCCUUCUGCCUGCUGGAAUGCUGGGUUGAGCUCCCUUGCUGAGUACCAUGAAUGUCGUUGGCUGCUUAGUCUUCUUUGCUGAAAGAAAUGUGGGCUGCUCCAGAAAGAUGAGGUAAAGAGGAUCAAGGCGGAUGCAUUGGCUCGUUUGAUCGCUGUCGUGGAGCUUACUAUGAAUGAAGAUGGAAAGAAUAGAUCUUCCCCGCCUGCUCAUGAGAUGCCUAGUUAAAAAAAAACUGAAGACUUCUUCUGCUGCUCAUGAGGGUCCGCUUGCUACCGAAAGGUAUGUGAUUGACAUGACUUCUUCUAAUGGGAAGAAAAAUAAGGCUGCUAGAUCUAAGCAUGUGGCGUCUUCCAUGUUGAGAAUGGCUAGUACAAUUUUGGAUAAGAUUGCUCAGCGUAAAGGUUUUAUCAUGCCCCCAGUGCCGAAGUCUGUACCAGGACGUUCUUUGGGAGCCAAGUCCGGUUCACCUUUGUAGAGACUUGCUAUUAUGAAGAGUGGUAAGGUGGACUCUGCUGCUAAAGUGGCGCCAAAGCCUACUCCCUUUGCUGCUGAGAUUGAUUCGCCUUAGAUUCAAGAUCUUAAGCUUGCAAUUUCUGAGCUUCGUUUCGCUACUUAUGCUAAGAAGGUAGUGGAUGAGCUGCAGCGCGUCCAUGUUAGUCUGCUUAAGAAGAAUGAGCAGCUGAAGGGUGAGAAUGAUGGGCUUGAGGUUUUAAGACCUUCUCCAUUUCUUCGGAAGACUUGCUUGCUUUUACUUUUAAGGCUUCCAUUGGUGAAGUAGUUGGAGAAGUUAGUGCCCAGACUGGGGCAGCCAGGGGUGAAGCGUCGGAUGAUGCCGCUGCUAAGAGCGUUACGGCUGUUGAAAGUGUGGCGACCGAGUAGUCGUGGGAUGUCCAAGCUGCUGUAGUGUAGUAUUUUAGGUAGCCUUUAGGAUUUUCUUUGUUUUUCCUUGUAGCUUUUGUUUUGCUUGAACUCCUUCGGCCUUUGCUAGUUGUUUAUAAACAUGUUUUCCUUCGUUUUUCUUCAUCUCACUUCUUUUGUUCAUGCCCUAACCUUUAGACUUGAUAGACCAGUGGCAGGCAUGCUACUUUUUUAUAAGCAGACAAACUUGCGUAGCCUAUGCAGCCGUAGGUGUUGGUGUAGAACUUUGCAAAGUUGUUAGCCAUAGGGUUGGCAGCCGGAUGCCUUACUUACAGAAGCAAACAAGUCCGCGUAACCACUAGGCUGUUAACCUUGACUUUCUUCAAUUCCGUAGGUUGCGUAGCAAGUAUCACAACACUUUAGGACUU
This 27526-nucleotide long non-coding RNA is filed under the name Malus domestica (apple). RNAcentral's name for it is "long non-coding RNA (MDOM_LNC009569)". Lineage: Eukaryota; Viridiplantae; Streptophyta; Magnoliopsida; Rosales; Rosaceae. The record is from RNAcentral.